GCCUGGCUGACUCAGUUGGAAGAGUGUGAGACUCUUGAUCUUGGGGUCGUGAGUUCAAGCCCUAUGUGGGGUA
This 73-nucleotide transfer RNA is filed under the name Felis catus (domestic cat). It matches the Rfam family "tRNA". From Rfam's summary of the family: Transfer RNA (tRNA) molecules are approximately 80 nucleotides in length. Their secondary structure includes four short double-helical elements and three loops (D, anti-codon, and T loops). Lineage: Eukaryota; Metazoa; Chordata; Mammalia; Carnivora; Felidae. The record is from Rfam by way of RNAcentral. RNAcentral also lists the same sequence under 3 other names.